GGCACAAACAGCCCCCGGCCGCCAGCAACACCGGAUGACGUACGGCGCCCCGGUUGGAGAUAGGUGUUGUAGCGUGAUUGUAGUCAGGUCUGCUUUUGUAACUGGAAGCUAACCUAUGGUCCCUUGCUAAUCCAGGAUCAAACUGCAGGAAGCGGGAUAUGGAGUGAAGAAGAAACAUGGAAAGAACAGAAAAUGAAAAUAUAAUGUAGGAGUCUCCAGGGCCACAUUUGUGAUCUGCAUAUGGGAAGCAGAGGAUGAGGAAUUGUGCUGUGCCUGUUCUAGUCUUCCUGCUGGUGGUAAGGGCAAGAAGCACCUCACACAAACUUCUACUGAUGACAGCUGGAUGGUAGCUCACUUAGAGAAAACGCCUGUAUCUGAAGCUUCAUCGUUAAUUUUUUUUAUAUAUAUAAAAGUAUUUCAGUUUCAUUCAUGCCAGCCCUUCAGUUUUUGUAUUGACACAGACAUUUAAAGUCGACUUCAUAUAGAGCCCCAGUCAGUGAAUCGUACUUUAAACUCCUCUAUCUAUGCAGCUUUGCACUGAAACUUAGCUAUAUUUGGUCAGCGUGGUAUUGUUCAGAAUCAUUAAGAAAUCAGGUCAGUGAAUGGCAGUGUUCAGAUUCAUUAAGAAAUCAGAUUUUCUCCUAUUGCUUCAACACUAAUAUUGAACCUUAUCGUAUGCAUAACAGCAUGGUACAUAUUAAACAAAUAAGUUCAUACUGAGUCAAAUAAUUUACGUAAUUAUUAGCAGGUCUUU
Non-coding RNA from Phalacrocorax carbo (great cormorant), 754 nucleotides. The record is from RefSeq and is a predicted model, not a curated record. Lineage: Eukaryota; Metazoa; Chordata; Aves; Suliformes; Phalacrocoracidae.